UACAGAGGGUGCGAGCGUUGUUCGGAAUCACUGGGCGUAAAGCGCACGUAGGCGGAUUGUUAAGUCAGGGGUGAAAGCCUGGAGCUCAACUCCAGAAUUGCCUUUAAGACUGCAUCGCUUGAAUCCAGGAGAGGUGAGUGGAAUUCCGAGUGUAGAGGUGAAAUUCGUAGAUAUUCGGAAGAACACCAGUGGCGAAGGCGGCUCACUGGACUGGUAUUGACGCUGAGGUGCGAAAGCGUGGGGAGCAAACAGG
RNAcentral lists this ribosomal RNA (253 nucleotides) under uncultured bacterium. Its description in RNAcentral is "partial 16S ribosomal RNA". It matches the Rfam family "Bacterial small subunit ribosomal RNA", at positions 524 to 776 of the family's 1533-position model. The record is from RNAcentral.